ACGUAGGAGGCGAGCGUUAUCCGGAUUUACUGGGCGUAAAGCGCGUGUAGGCGGUUCGGUGAGUUGGAUGUGAAAGCUCCUGGCUUAACUGGGAGAGGUCGUUCAAUACUGCCGGACUAGAGAAUGGGAGAGGGAGGUGGAAUUCCGGGUGUAGUGGUGAAAUGCGUAGAUAUCCGGAGGAACACCAGAGGCGAAGGCGACACCCUGGGCCGUACCUGACGCUAAGACGCGACAGCACGGGGAGCGAACGG
Molecule: ribosomal RNA, 251 nt
Filed under: uncultured prokaryote
Description: partial 16S ribosomal RNA
Rfam family: Bacterial small subunit ribosomal RNA
Source: RNAcentral